Molecule: ribosomal RNA, 578 nt
Filed under: Stichaster australis
Lineage: Eukaryota; Metazoa; Echinodermata; Asteroidea; Forcipulatida; Asteriidae
Description: partial 16S ribosomal RNA
Rfam family: Bacterial large subunit ribosomal RNA
Source: RNAcentral
CGCUCUUUGCAAAAUAAUUUUAGUAUAAAGAGUACUGCCUGCCCAGUGACGUUGUUAAACGGCCGCGGUAUCUUGACCGUGCAAAGGUAGCAUAAUCAUUUGCCUUUUAAAUGAGGGCUGGUAUGAAUGGCAAGACGGGGGUUAAGCUGUCUUUUUCUUUUAUCUUGAAAUUAAUAUUUUUGUGAAGAAGCAAAAAUUUAUUCGUAGGACGAGAAGACCCUAUCGAGCUUAAGUAAAAAUUACUAGCUGUAGUUUUGUUUCUAGGGUCUAAUUCUACUAAGGUUUAGUGAAAAAAGUUAACCCUCGAAAGAAAAAUUGUAUAGUGUGAGUAUUUUGAUUGGGGCAAUCGUGGAGAAGAUAAAUCCUCCAUUAAGUUAAAUAAAAGAUACAACUUUGUUGAAGAAUAAAAAUGAUCCGGCGGGAGUGUCGAGCAAAGGAAUAAGUUACCGUAGGGAUAACAGCGUAAUUUUUUUGGAGAGUUCAUAUUGAUAAAAAAGUUUGCGACCUCGAUGUUGGAUCGGGAUUCCCAGGAGAUGCAGCAGUUUCCAAGGGUUGGUCUGUUCGACCAUUAAAAUCCU